GCUGGGCAUGGUGGUGCAUGCCUUUAAUCCCAGCAACUCUGGAGGCUGAGGCAGGAGGAUUGGAAGUUUGAAGCCAGCCUCAGCAACUCAGCAAGACCCUGUCUCAA
RNAcentral lists this small RNA (107 nucleotides) under Marmota monax (woodchuck). Lineage: Eukaryota; Metazoa; Chordata; Mammalia; Rodentia; Sciuridae. The record is from RNAcentral.